CAGCCGCCGCGGGAAUACGAAGGGUGCAAGCGUUAAUCGGAAUUACUGGGCGUAAAGCGUGCGCAGGCGGUUAUGUAAGACAGUUGUGAAAUCCCCGGGCUCAACCUGGGAACUGCAUCUGUGACUGCAUAGCUAGAGUACGGUAGAGGGGGAUGGAAUUCCGCGUGUAGCAGUGAAAUGCGUAGAUAUGCGGAGGAACACCGAUGGCGAAGGCAAUCCCCUGGACCUGUACUGACGCUCAUGCACGAAAGCGUGGGGAGCAAACAGGAUUAGAUACCCCCGUAGUCCCUGUCUCUUAUAA
This 301-nucleotide ribosomal RNA is filed under the name uncultured bacterium. RNAcentral describes it as "partial 16S ribosomal RNA". It matches the Rfam family "Bacterial small subunit ribosomal RNA", at positions 509 to 809 of the family's 1533-position model. The record is from RNAcentral.